AUGCCGACCCUGUGGAGGCAGCCGAGUCUGGAGUUCGACGUCAAGGUCGUCCGGGUCGCCGGCGUCGAGGCACGGCUCGAGGGCGGCCUCUUUGUGAGGUACUACGUCCCGGCCGGCGACGGGAGGCGCCGGAUCCGCGUGGACACGCGCGAGGUCCCGUGCGGCGCCGGGGGCGACGACGUGCUCUGGGGCGAGCGCGUGCGCUUCCAGCUGGCGGCCAACGGCGGGGCCGUCGCCUCGCCGGUCAAGGUCGCGUUCGAGCUCCGGUGGAGGCCGCGCUCGUCGUCGUCCGGGCUGGCGGCGUUCCUGGGGACAGGGAGAGGGAGGCCGUCGUCGCGCGUGCUGGCGCGAGCCGAUCACGCCUUGUCGACGGGCGCGGAAUCGGCGUCGGCGGAGAGCUGGCUGAGACUCUCGCCGGCGGGCCGGGAGCUGGGCGGCGGGUGCAAGGCGCCCAAGUUGCUCGCUGAGGUCAAGGUCGUCCACGCCGUAGCGGCUGCCGAUCGCGUAGCCGUGCAAGCGAGGAAGUUCGGCGGCGUGAACGAGUGCUGCCGUGGCGGCGAGCGCUGCGGUAGCUGCGGCUGGGUCGGGACCGAGGAUGACAUGUUCCUUGCGGCGACGUUUACUCAAUAG
This 630-nucleotide ribosomal RNA is filed under the name Triticum aestivum (bread wheat). RNAcentral's name for it is "partial small subunit ribosomal RNA". Lineage: Eukaryota; Viridiplantae; Streptophyta; Magnoliopsida; Poales; Poaceae. The record is from RNAcentral.